AUUGAACGCUGGCGGCAGGCCUAACACAUGCAAGUCGAGCGGGGUUUUCGGACCUAGCGGCGGACGGGUGAGCAAUGCGUAGGAAGCUACCCGAUAGAGGGGGAUACCAGUUGGAAACGACUGUUAAUACCGCAUAAUGUCUACGGACCAAAGUGUGGGCCCUUCGGGCCACAUGCUAUCGGAUGCGCCUACGUGGGAUUAGCUAGUUGGUGAGGUAAUGGCUCACCAAGGCGACGAUCUCUAGCUGGUUUGAGAGGAUGAUCAGCCACACUGGAACUGAGACACGGUCCCGACUCCUACGGGAGGCAGCAGUGGGGAAUAUUGGACAAUGGGCGCAAGCCUGAUCCAGCCACGCCGCGUGUGUGAAGAAGGCCUUCGGGUUGUAAAGCACUUUCAGUAGGGAGGAAGGGUUAAGUGUUAAUAGUACUUAGCUUUGACGUUACCUACAGAAGAAGCACCGGCUAACUCUGUGCCAGCCGCCGCGGUAA
This 488-nucleotide ribosomal RNA is filed under the name uncultured bacterium. RNAcentral describes it as "partial 16S ribosomal RNA". It matches the Rfam family "Bacterial small subunit ribosomal RNA", at positions 30 to 523 of the family's 1533-position model. The record is from RNAcentral.